CCUACGGGAGGCAGCAGUGGGGAAUAUUGCACAAUGGGGGAAACCCUGAUGCAGCGACGCCGCGUGAGUGAAGAAGUAAUUCGUUAUGUAAAGCUCCAUCAGCAGGGAAGAAAAUGACGGUACCUGAGUAAGAAGCCCCGGCUAAAUACGUGCCAGCAGCCGCGGUAAGAAGGAGGGCGCAAGCGUUAUCCGGAUUUACUGGGGGUUAAGGGAGCGUAGUUGGCAGUGCAAGUCUGGAGUGAAAGGCGGGGGCUCAACCCCCGGACUGCUGUGGAAACUGUACGGCUGGAGUGCAGGAGUGGUAAGUGGAAUUCCUAGUGUAGCGGUGAAAUGCGUAGAUAUUAGGAGGAACACCAGUGGCGAAGGCAGCUUACUGGACUGUAACUGACGUUGAGGCUCGAAAGCGUGGGGAGCAAACAGGAUUAGAUACCCGUGUAGUC
RNAcentral lists this ribosomal RNA (440 nucleotides) under uncultured bacterium. RNAcentral describes it as "partial 16S ribosomal RNA". It matches the Rfam family "Bacterial small subunit ribosomal RNA", at positions 338 to 795 of the family's 1533-position model. The record is from RNAcentral.